AGUUGUCUUCCACAGGUGGAACAUUUGGUUGGAAUAAGGAAAGAGAACAUAAGCCUCUUCCAGGCAUUUUUAGAGAUAUACAAUUUUUAAAACAUUCAAACUAGAAAAAUUGUCCAACUGUCACUAUCCUCAAGUGCUUCAACUCUACUAGAAAAUGGAAAGACCUUUGAAAGAAAGAGUGUUAAUGGGCUAAAAGAAUUUCAAUACAUAGGAUGAAGAUGAAUCAAAAUGAAUUGCGAAUGAAAAAUUGAGAGCAGAUGAUGUAAGUAGGUUAUAAACAUACUGCCUCUUUUUCUCAUAUACUUAUAAAAAAUGCUCUUUGUUACUUUAGAUUUUAGAGGUUGAAGUUCAAUGGCAUCUUAGACAAGGAAAGAGAAACUCUAAUGCCUUUUCUUAUUUGUUUUGUAUAUUUAUCUCUAAAACCUAGACUUCCUACCAGAGAACACUUUGUAGCCAACAAUAAGGAAGUCAGAUUUGGGAUAUUAAAAAACAAUAACCUUUUAAUGUUUGAGAAAAGAUGGGCUUGAGAAAGCCAUUCCAGGUUGUAAUCUAUUAAUUGUGAAGUGUAGUUCACCGAAAAUUUGAUUUCUAUUCCAAUAUUUGCUUAGGAGCUAUAGUUAAAUAUUUAAUAUCAAUGAUUAUUAGCUAUGGCUUUGAGACUUGGUUGGACACCAUGAUUCGCUUUCAUCUGACCUUUUUGGAGAUUCAAUUUAUUUUAACUCAACUGAGAAUCACAGAGUCAGAGUUAAAUGAAAUUUUAGAAAUCACUGAAUACCACUUUCACUCACCACCACCGGAUGGAUAAGAACUCUGAGUUUCUGAUGGAGUAAGUUGCUGUAGUUCACUCAGCAAAUCAGAGAAAGAACUUGUGCAGACAUUAGGAAUUCCACAUACAGGCCUUUCAUUGCCUGAGAUAAGCCAGUCCAAACUAUUUGCAAAUGUUAGGAAAAAAAUCUGGAUUCUGCUCAAGACACCACUUUCCUGAUUCAAUGGGGUCAACAUGAAACCAGGACAUUCAUGUUCUAAGCUGCAUGGGAUGUCCUGUAUCUACUUUUUUGAAACAAGCUUCAGUUCUGAAUGGCUAAUGGAUUAGAUGCUCUUAAUUUUGCUUUUCCAUCUUCAUUAAUACUUCGUAGAAGAAAAAAGCAUUACAUUCUAUAAAUAGAAAUAGAAUUGCAGAUUAGAGAUUAGUGAUUUGAAAAUACUUCUACAGCCAUUUAGCAAUGAAGAAGAAAGACUACAAGUUAUUUUCAGUAAGAUUUUCUCUAAGAAAUAGUCCUCAGAGUCCUGGAAAGGUAGACUUCAACAAAUAUCCAUGGCUGGGCAGCCUCAGAUUUCAAUGAAAUAUUUUCCUGAUGGUCUUUGGAGGUGACUCCACUUAUUUCUCCCAUGUAAAAGAAUUUACUUGGUAGAUCUCAUGGAGGUGGAAUGGCCAAGUCAAUUUUUUAAGUACAAGGAAAUAUUAUUAGCAUGUAGCAAACUUUGUUGGUUACAAGACUCCACAUUGAGCUCUUGCUUCUAACUUCCUUUCUAAGAGACCACCAGUUUAAUUGGGGGGGGGGGGUUGUCUAACGUCUUUCUUCUGCAUCCACAUGCUACAUUAGGCUAGUCAAGGGAAUCCCACCUCCCUUGGACAUGCUAACGGUCAGAACAGGCACGUGACACACACAGAAGGAGUUGUGAGGGUGUUCCUGUUGAAUGAUUUCUGGGAAUUUUUUCUUAUAAAAGAGACUGUCAGCAGGAGCUGAUGAAUUAGCUUCCACUGGACACUGCCACAUGUGUGUUUCCUGCCCAGAUUGCUGUAGCCUCCCCACAACCAUGAGGGCAGCCAGCCGGAGAAUGAAGCCGGCAGGCAGGGAGGACAGAGUCGUGGCAGACAGAGUGCUGGUUCUUGGCAUUCUGGAGCCUCAGAUUUCACCAACCCUUUCACUGCCAUGCCUGAGGCUUCCUGUUAUACAAAACAACCACAUUUCCUCCUACUUUUAAGACAGCUAAUUGAGGGUUUUCUGUUGCUUCCUACAGCAAACAUCUUAAUGGAUAUACAAAUAAUACAGAAGUAACCUUUCCCCUGACAUUUUAAAAAAUGUGGCGACCCCUGUCAAGGACUUUCACUUCAGCAGUAUACUUCCAUCCCCAGAGAGGCUGCUAAGAAUACAGAGUUGGCUAGAUUACUAUCCCCAGUGAUGGAAUAUUCAAAAUUUAAUCAGUUUUCAGUUCAAGGAAAUAACCGCUAAUAAAAAAAAUGCUUUUGGAUCAUUUCAUGAGGCAGAGUACUUUAUUCCAUAUGGCAUCCUGCACGUCCAUAUGGCUUCAGGAAUUAGAGAGGUAUAUUUGUCAAAAUAUUCAAUCAAUUGCAGCCCUUAAAGUUGAUAAUGUUAUGUGUUUGGAGCAUACACCAUCUCUUGAAUAUGGGGGAAAGUCAAAGGAGCAAAUGCCAGCCAAAGAAAAAUCACAGUGAGUUUAUAUUCAGGAGAGAAGGAAAAGAAAGAAAAGAGACCUGCACUGCUAUAAUUUAAUCCAAAUCAUGUGAAUGAUAUUGACUCGGCGCUGCAAUAACCUAGUCAUGGGUAAAAGCAAUGUGUAAUAAGAUUUAUUCAAAUAAGAAUAGGGCAGGAAAAUUCUGAUUAUUUUACAUUUCAAUAGGCAUAAUUUUAAAACAUCAACCACAUAUAAAGCAGUUACCUCAAAGAAAAAGACAUGUAUUAAACAAAUUUAAACACCUUCAACAUUUUGUAAGUUUUUUUAUUUUUUAUUUUAUUUUUUUUCCCUGCACCAUUGCCCAACCAGACUUCAGAGAUUGUUCUUAACCCCUUCUGGCUUUGGCUGCCUAUAAACUGCUUUAGCUGUGACUGAUCUAAAAUUUCUGCAAACUUGUCUUUCUAGAUAAGGAAAUUAAGUAGAAUAGCUGCCCACAGGGAAUACAUCAUGUCACUGGCACCUUCCAUUCUUAUGUCAUGUAUUCUGGGUCUGAGUGCAUGGGGAAGGCUGGCUCAGGAGGCAGGCUGAGCUUCUUGGGCAACAGGUUUUUUGUUGUUGUUGUUGUUGUUGUUUCAAGGUAAUAAAAAAAUAAGCAUGAGCUGUAUUUCAGUGAAAUUAUCCCAAAUGAGAGAAAGCAGAAGAUGUUAGAUUUGAUGCUGUGCGGAAAAGAGAGGCAACUGACAGACAAACGAGGUUGGUUCCCCUAGAAAAAAAAAAUAGAAUCAAACCCAUCAAACAAGAAACGGACAGAAGUCUGUAAGGGCCACAGGCACGAAGAGACCAAUUUUCUGAAAUACAUUUCAUGUUAAAUUAACUACUCUCAGAUUAGGAUGCUGAAUAUAUCCAAUAUACACAAGUUAGGUGAGUAAAAUUCAAUGAGGAUGUUUCUGAAUGUUUAUACAGAGGAAUUUACAAAUGAACAAAUUCAAAAUCGAUUUCAUACCAUCAAAGGAUUAUCCUCUGGAUGUGGAAGUGAAACUGGAAUGGCAUAAAGGUUAGCCAAUUCCCUUCAUUUCUGCCAAUAAGCACUACUUCUGAGUCAUCAGAACCCCAGGGGUGCCUGCCUCUGGGCUUCAGCUUACAUAGAAAUUGUCAAGUUGGUGCUUUUUGAACAACACAAUGAAACUGACAAAGUUUGAAAUAUUGCAGGCAUGAAACUGUUAAAAAACAAAGGACAAACCAUGACAUAAUAUUGAGUCUAAUGAACCUGUCCUACAACGUCAGGAUUGAUAAUACUCUCUCUUCCCCAAUUUUUAUGUAAAUUAUUUGAUGUAAACAUAUCACAUCCCAAGAUGAAUUCUGGUUUGUCACAAACUCAUACAAUGUUUGUGAGUGUCUUGAGUGCCCUGAGGGCAAGGGAAUGCCUCCCUCCACUUAGCAAGUGCUUAGUAUCCAUCUGAUUCUCAGGCAAGUGUGCUCCACACUUGUCUGAAGGCACAACAGGGAUUCAGCCUCACCUGGAGUCGGCCGAGUCCUUCCCACUCUGUGCAGGCUUUCUUGAUACUCUCAGAUCACACUAAUUUCUUCCUUCUAGGAACAUAUAGCACAGUAUUAUUAUUAUUAUUAUUAUUAUUAUUAUUAUUAUUAUUCACGGUACUGAUUCGUUUUUUAUCUUAUUUUUCAAUUUUUUUUUAAUACUUUACAAGGUCUAGGAUACAUGUGCACAACGUGCAGGUUUGUUACAUAUGUAUACAUCUGCCAUUUUGGUGAUAGCACAGUAUUAUUUAGUGUUCAAUUACAUUCUUCAAGUUCCCCCCUUUCUUGUCUCUCCAAAUAUUUUCGGGUCUCUUAAAGAAGAAAAUGUGCCUUGUUUUUCUCUCAGAUGCUUGUCUUUAGCACUUAGCAUGGUGCUGAGGGUAUGUGAAGUUGAUUGGUUUGUGAGUGGAGAAAAAGGAGAUUUCUAAAGCACUAGAAAAGAUCUGCCUCUCCAUGUAUACUAACUCCUUGUUUGGUGUGAGCAUGUCUGAGGAAAAAGCAUAAUCACAUCAAAUGGAGUCACAAGUUCAUCACUUUAGUUUCCCUGGAAGGCAGCUCUAGUAGAGGAGAUCUGGCAAGAAUUUUGAAUUCAGAAAAAUCUGGAUUUGAAACUUGACUCUAAUCUUUACUAGCUUGUAACAUUGGUAAAAGAGUCUUUCUGUGUUUCCGUAUUUACUGGUAAAAGUACGAAUAAUACAACCUUCUUGAAUGUUUUUGGAAAUAUUAAAUGAGAUAAGGCAUUGGAUAUGUCCUAGCAUGUAAGAAGGAAAUGAUGUUUAUAUUGAUUCUCUUUCUGUGCUAGUAACCAGUGACCAUUUGUACCCUGAACUUUCUAUUUCUUCCUGAAACUAUUUUCUUUUUCUCUUGAUGUUAUCUUUUGGAAAAUAUCAACAAAAGGAGAUCAUAUGAGUAAAGUCUAAGGAUUCAAAUGCUGGGAGGGACCUGGAGUGCUGUGGGUGACUAUCCCAUGACUCCCUAUUUAUCGUAUGAAUGGCCAGACUGUUAGUACUCCCAUUCAUACGUACCCACCCACUCCCAAUUUCAAUACAAAUUUAUAUCUCUAUAAAUGACUAAAAUACUAUUGUGUUGGUUUUUCUUUCUUUUUUUCUUGUUGCCACAACAAAUUAUCACUUACUUAAAGAACAUAAGAUGAAAGUGAUAUGUUUUAAAGCAUAAAAUAAAAAGAAACAAAACAAAUUUAUUAUCUUACCAUUCUGUGGGUGAGACGUUCACGUGACUUUGGCCAAAAUUUAGGGGGUGGUAGGUUGUGUUCUUUUCUGGAGGAUCUAGGGAUUUAUUUCCUAGGGUUUCCAGCCUCUAGAAUUCUGGACUUGAAUGGGAGUGACAGCGUUUUUCUUCUAGUAAUAAGCAUAGGUGUAGGCUGGUGCAAUUGAUAGCCACUACAUGCAAGAGAGCAGAAUCAAGAGAAAUGAAGAGAUGCUAGUCCUGUUGACUUCAAUUGACACUGAAAUAUCAGUCAUCUCUGAAGCUGAAUAUCCAUGAACUUGUCAGGUAUGUGGUAUGACAUUUGUAAAUAUAUAUAUAUAUAUAUAAGCUUUAAUUGAAUUACUUCUCACUUUCUUCUUUCCCCUCUUGAAAACAUAGGUAGUGUCUUCUUUCAUUGGGCCUUAUGGCUCCCUAAAUAAUAUGAUUCCAGAUUAGUGUGUUGGAUAAAAUAUAGUUGGGCUAGCCUCAUUAUUCUAAUAUAUUUUAAAAUGAUAAGAACACUGAAAGAAGAGUGAGUAUUUAGACCACUUUCUUCCAAAUAAAAGAACACUGAUGAAACCUACAAGGAACUUUUUACUACUUUGGAUCUAUCUUUGGAUCAAAAUAGGAUACACCUUCCUACAUUGUCUGAUUCUAAAUAUCUAUAAUGUUUUUCACAGUACAAUGACUU
This is a long non-coding RNA of Chlorocebus sabaeus (green monkey), 5851 nucleotides long. RefSeq lists it as uncharacterized. The record is from RefSeq and is a predicted model, not a curated record. Lineage: Eukaryota; Metazoa; Chordata; Mammalia; Primates; Cercopithecidae.